This 253-nucleotide ribosomal RNA is filed under the name uncultured bacterium. Its description in RNAcentral is "partial 16S ribosomal RNA". It matches the Rfam family "Bacterial small subunit ribosomal RNA", at positions 524 to 776 of the family's 1533-position model. The record is from RNAcentral.
UACGGAGGGAGCUAGCGUUGUUCGGAAUUACUGGGCGUAAAGCGUACGUAGGCGGUUAUUCAAGUCAGAGGUGAAAGCCCGGGGCUCAACCCCGGAACGGCCUUUGAAACUAGAUAGCUAGAGUCUUGGAGAGGUUAGUGGAAUUCCGAGUGUAGAGGUGAAAUUCGUAGAUAUUCGGAAGAACACCAGUGGCGAAGGCGACUAACUGGACAAGUACUGACGCUCAGGCACGAAAGCGUGGGGAGCAAACAGG